AGAGUUUGAUCCUGGCUCAGGAUGAACGCUAGCUACAGGCUUAACACAUGCAAGGUCGAGGGGAAACGAUAUUGGAAGCUUUGCUUCCGAUAGGCGUCGACCGGCGUACGGGUGAGUAACGCGUAUCCCAACCUGCCCACCACGUUGGGGAUAACCUUGACGAAAGUAAGACUAAUACCCAAUGACGUCUCUAGAAGACAUCUGAAAGAGAUUAAAGACUUAUCGGUGAUGGAUGGGGGAUGCGUCUGAUUAGCUUGUUGGCGGGGUAACGGCCCACCAAGGCGACGAUCAGUAGGGGUUCUGAGAGGAAGGCCCCCCACAUUGGAACUGAGACACGGUCCAAACUCCUACGGGAGGCAGCA
Molecule: ribosomal RNA, 362 nt
Filed under: uncultured bacterium
Lineage: Bacteria
Description: bacterial SSU rRNA
Rfam family: Bacterial small subunit ribosomal RNA
Source: RNAcentral